UCGUGUCGUGAGAUGUUGGGUUAAGUCCCGCAACGAGCGCAACCCUCACCUCUUGUUGCCAUCAGGUCAUGCUGGGCACUCUAGAGGAACUGCCCCGGUCAAUGGGGAGGAGGGCGGGGAUGACGUCAAGUCAUCAUGCCCCUUACGUCCUGGGCUACACACGUGCUACAAUGGCCGGUACAAAGGGAUGCCACACCGCGAGGUAGAGCUAAACCCAAAAAGCCGGUCUAAGUUCAGAUUGGAGUCUGCAACUCGACUCCAUGAAGGAGGAAUCGCUAGUAAUCGC
Molecule: ribosomal RNA, 286 nt
Filed under: uncultured Methylomirabilota bacterium
Lineage: Bacteria; Methylomirabilota (SeqCode)
Description: uncultured candidate division NC10 bacterium partial 16S ribosomal RNA
Rfam family: Bacterial small subunit ribosomal RNA
Source: RNAcentral